CGAGGGGCAGCACGAUAAAGCUUGCUUUAUUGGUGGCGACCGGCGCACGGGUGCGUAACGCGUAUGCAACCUACCUUGUACUGGGGUAUAGCCCGAAGAAAUUCGGAUUAACCCCCCAUAGUAAUAGAUGACCGCAUGGUUGAUUAUUUAAAGGUUACGGUACAAGAUGGGCAUGCGUCCCAUUAGCUAGAUGGUGAGGUAACGGCUCACCAUGGCUACGAUGGGUAGGGGGCCUGAGAGGGUGGUCCCCCACACUGGUACUGAGACACGGACCAGACUCCUACGGGAGGCAGCAGUGAGGAAUAUUGGUCAAUGGGCGCAAGCCUGAACCAGCCAUGCCGCGUGCAGGAAGACGGUCCUAUGGAUUGUAAACUGCUUUUAUUUGGGAAUAAACCUCUUUACGUGUAGAGAGCUGAAGGUACCAAAUGAAUAAGCACCGGCUAACUCCGUGCCAGCAGCCGCGGUAAUACGGAGGGUGCAAGCGUUAUCCGGAAUCAUUGGGUUUAAAGGGUCCGCAGGCGGGAAGAUAAGUCAGUGGUGAAAUCUCACAGCUCAACUGUGAAACUGCCAUUGAUACUGUCUUUCUUGAAUUCGAUCGAAGUGGGCGGAAUGUGACAUGUAGCGGUGAAAUGCUUAGAUAUGUCACAGAACACCGAUAGCGAAGGCAGCUCACUAGGUCUGGAUUGACGCUCAGGGACGA
RNAcentral lists this ribosomal RNA (700 nucleotides) under uncultured Fluviicola sp. RNAcentral describes it as "bacterial SSU rRNA". It matches the Rfam family "Bacterial small subunit ribosomal RNA", at positions 63 to 756 of the family's 1533-position model. The record is from RNAcentral. Lineage: Bacteria; Pseudomonadati; Bacteroidota; Flavobacteriia; Flavobacteriales; Crocinitomicaceae.